UGCAAAUGAGUGUCUCCCUAGUGCAGUCGU
This 30-nucleotide non-coding RNA is filed under the name Rattus norvegicus (Norway rat). Lineage: Eukaryota; Metazoa; Chordata; Mammalia; Rodentia; Muridae. The record is from RNAcentral.